RNAcentral lists this ribosomal RNA (197 nucleotides) under uncultured bacterium. RNAcentral describes it as "partial 16S ribosomal RNA". It matches the Rfam family "Bacterial small subunit ribosomal RNA", at positions 328 to 539 of the family's 1533-position model. The record is from RNAcentral.
ACGCUCGACACCUACGAGAGGCAGCAGUGGGGAAUAUUGCACAAUGGGGGAAACCCUGAUGCAGCGACGCCGCGUGGAGGAAGAAGGUCUUCGGAUUGUAAACUCCUGUUGUUGGGGAAAAAGAGGAUGGUACCCAACAAGGAAGUGACGGCUAACUACGUGCUAGCAGCCGCGUAAUCUGAGCGGGCUGGCAAGGC